CUCUAAGAUGCUGACCUUGCCAUCUUAGAGAGUGAUUUAAUGGAGGAGGUAGAUAUCCACCCAUAUUUAUUUAUGCAGAUAGACAUCACUGCACAAAUAAGAGUAAAGUUAUAGCUGUAGUAUAUUCUGAAAGUGGAAGUGUGUGGUGCCAUAAAAUCUAUAGCUGUGAGUUGAAUUAUGACUCCCAAAUAAAGACACAUUGAAGUCUUAACCCCCAAUAUCUCAGAAUGUGAUCUUAUUUAGAGAUAGCCUCUUUGGAGAGGUAAUCUCUCCAAAAUUAACAGAAUUAAGUUAACAUAAGAUUAUUAGGCUGGGCCCUAAUCUGGAAUGCAUGAUAUCCUUAUAAAAAGGGGGACAUUUGGACACAAACACAGACAAGCAGAGGGAAGAUAAGUGAAGAAACACAGGGAGAAGAAGUCCAUCUACAAGCUAAGGAGAGAGGCCUGGAGCAGAUCCUCCUGUCUUGGUCCUCAGAAGGAAUCAAUUCUGCAGACAUCUUGAUCUCAGACUUCCAGACUUCAGGAAUAGAUGAAAAAUUCAAAAAAAAAUGCACCCCUAUGCAUUUGAUGACCCCGGACAAGAUGAUUUCAGUCUAGGAAGAUUUGAAUGAAAGCAAUUCCAGGCAAAAAUAUUGAAGCCACUGGAACAGCAAAGGACACAUAGAUUGGGUCAGUACUCAAGGGAUCUCAGUUUCACAACUUCAAAAA
RNAcentral lists this long non-coding RNA (707 nucleotides) under Homo sapiens (human). RNAcentral describes it as "HSALNT0050540". Lineage: Eukaryota; Metazoa; Chordata; Mammalia; Primates; Hominidae. The record is from RNAcentral.